UUUAUCAUAUGGAAUGAUGAACAAAGGCUGCAAAAGUCUUUUCAAAUGGGUUUGUUUGCAGCCCUAUAGAGCAGAGCUCUAUGAGUUUAUUUGCAUCGUCAGGAGAAUCUAAACUAAUUUAAUUCAUGGUAGGGAGCAUACGUUAAUGACUUCUCUGGGUGGAGGAAGGUGGUGCACACCUCUCUUCUAACUCAGUGGUCCUGAUCUACAAGCAGGCCAAUAGAUCAAAACCAAAUGCUAUCUCAUGGGCUGGAUGCAACUGGGUGCUCAACGUCUAAAAGGGAUGGCGAAAUAAAUUACACAGAUCUCUGUGCAAGUCUGAUCAAGCUCUGAAAGGUGAGGCUCUUGAUUCAUGGCAGUCUGGCCAGUCACAGCCCUGUCUGAAGGGUCAGUCUGACUCUUCCAUGGUGUUUUCCACCUCCUCAAACGUUCUGCUCAGGAAGAAGUCACAGGAGGGACUUUCAGCUUUCCCCUGUCCUUGGCUGGCUGAGCUGGGCAUGUCAAACAGGAGAUGGAGCUGUUCCUUGAGGAUAAAUCUUCAUUUCUCUCAUGUGAAGAACUGUGCCGAGAUCUGCCCGUGGAAAAUUACUUUCUAGGAGCAAGAAUCACAAAGGACCUUUGCUUUCAGGCUUUUGUCUGAGGUCCACAGCAUAAUGAGCAAAAAUGGAAUGAAGGGUAUUAACCUUUGGAAGAUGAAAGAUUCGCACAGUGAUGGAAAUAUGUUACCAGCAAGUCUGAAGGAAUUUGCACGAAACAUGUUGGUUUAGGAUGUGAAACAACAGGGAAGAAUCAGACAAGACCUAAAUGGAAAGCAAAAAUCAGAAUAUCUCCUUUAAUGAAAGCAUGCUGUAAUAUGAAUGCCUUUUUGUUUGUGCAAACUUGUAGGUGUGCAUACAGGGAAAGGAAGGGGAAUAAACCCCAAAAGUGACUUCAGGCUGAUCUGAAAACUCCUCUGGGGUGCAAUUGCUUGUGCACUGUGGUUGAAGAUGGACCAGGAGUGUAACAUGUGGUCAGGCUGGCCAUAAUUCAAGUGCAGACUUGGUUCUGAGCAUCCUCAUUCCUGCCUCACUUCACCAUGAACCAUCCCAGGUCUCUGCAACUAAAUAGUUCCCAAAUUAUGGAGUUUGCAUCCUAAUCUGAAUUUUGCAACUCAAGCCUACCUGUGGUUAUGCAGUCAGACAGAAAAGCCAACAGCCAAGAGCAACGCCUAGUCACUGACUUUGAUCUAGAAAUGGUUAUUAUCCAGCUAUCUCCAUUACAAAACAUCCAGUUUGCUAAACCUGGGUUAUCUACUGAUUUGGCUUCAUUUGAUAGGCAAGAGCAGGUCUAGCAUGGGAGAGCUUCACAUCCCCAAACGAUGCCUCUGUCACAAAACUGAUAAGUGAUAAACCUUGCAAAACCCGCCAGUAGGAAAUGACGUCUGACCACCUCCCAGCUGGCUCUACAGUUACUCCUAAAGAGCACCACUGGCAGCCCUUGCAGAUGAGAUGGAAAAGUGAGCAAAUUCCUGCUUCACCCCACAGAGAUGAGUGUCUCCAGUGGGCAGAGAGAGGGAACGUGCUGCUGGUGACAGCUACAGCAGCGUGGCUGUGCAGAGGAGUUCAGUUCUCAAGAGAUGAGAUUAAGCAGAUUUUUCAUUUUUAUUUCCACACAACUUCUUUGAAUUUCUUUUUUCCUGGAAGCAUAGGAGGAAGUUACUUAGAAAGGAAGUCACUUUGAAUACUCUUCACUCCAGAUGAGAAAAAACUCUUUAUCUGAGGAGUGAAUUUGGGUCAGGAUGUAGUAGCACAGUCCUCAUGCUGAACAACUUGCUGAACAUGUGGUAGUGUUUUGUGACAUGGUCUGUGGAGUGGGAAGUAGGCUGAGCUCACCCAACCCACCUCAUUUAUGGCUUUACACAAGUAAAUAAGUAUGUUUUCAGCCACUCAACACAAGAAUGGCUUGCAAAUUGCAACCACCAUUGCCUGGCAGGUCAAAGGUUAACCUUUUCAACAGGUCAGACUGCAGUGCUAAUUCACCUCAGCAGUGAGUCCCAGGCAGCCUGUAAUGCAUACUUGUGGUGGUUGUAUUUGUACAGCAUACACAUAAAAUGAAAACCGUAUGACAGAGGUUAGUCCUCUCAAAUGGCUGUCACGUUGGCUUGGGUUGCUUUUGUACAGUUAUCCACAUGUUAGCCAAGAUUCUGGUGGUAUUUUCGUAUGAAUUUUAUUGACGUGGUGAACUAACUUGGCUAAUUUCAUAGCUAUUAUAAUCAGCCAGUGGCCCAAGAAAUGCACUGCUUUAUUUAUCUCAAAAAUGUUGCUAACUGGUCUGGCCAGAUUCAGCUUCCAGUGGUGGCCUUCUUCCAGAUGUGGAAAACCCCUUUUUCUGACAUAGAGGGUUCAGACAGUCCUCGUGUGCCUGCUCCACAAGAGCACUGAUGCUGUGGGCUGAGGGCUCAGCCCCUCUUUCCAGAUGUGUUUCCUCAAUGUUACACAAAGAAGGAGCUUGCAAGAGCUUCUUCAGCUCAGUUCACACCUGCCAAAGCUUGGACUAAGGCCUGGAUUAAAUGAAAUGUCUAAGUUAGGCAUUUAAACUCCCUUAUAUAUCCAGUUGGGGAUACCCUGGGGAAGUGCAUUUGUCCUUCUGUGUCCACUUUAGAGGGAGCCCGAGGUAACAAAUGUCCUAACACAGGGAUCAUAGCUGGGCACACAUAGUCCUGGAUAGCUACACACCAUGUCAAAAACUCCUCAAACUGCUUCUUCAGGGGGCUUAGAUUCUCAUACAACCUUGUGUGCCACAUGGAUAUUACAAGCAGACAUAAUCCUGUGAGUCCAGCAGUCCAAAGGUCUCUGUCUAAAUGACCAAAAUAAGUCAUUUACUGUUUUUUGUUGGCACAGAAGUAUUAAAAUUUCCUCCUCCACAAAGCAGGAAGAGCAGACACAGCCCAGGACUUCCUGCCCCAGAUCCUUCCUGACCAAGAUGCCCUGCUCCAAGGGAGGAGCUGUGACCUUCCAAGGCUGUGUCUUGGCACACCAGGACACGCUCAUGUCCAUAGCACACGUUCCUUGUUCUGUUGCAAAAAACAGGUGAAACAAAAAACUUACCACAUAGGCCAAUUUCAUGAGAUUUCUUCUGAAAAGUGAAAUGGCAAAUAGAGGAGAAAUGCCUGAGUGCACAUGGAAGGAGACAAGUGAGAUGUUUUGGGAAGCUCCCAUUCCCAUCUCUCAGGGUUCCUCUACAUCCUUAAGAAAAGAAGAUGAGUGCUCCCCAUCUUUGGUGAAAUGCUUGAUGGAGCUGGCAGUAGCACUCCAGUUUAACACUGACUAUAAAUGAUGCUUACAUUUCAACAGCAUUUUUUAAUAAUAUUUUUCAUAACUUUAAGCUAAAGGAGUUUCCACCAGGGUCAUUGAGAGUUCACUAAAUGCUGAUAGACUGUAUUCUGUAUUAAUGAUGCUAAGCUAACUGCCUCACAGAACUGCCAAACCCCUUUAUUUAAAGGAAUAGCACUUGUAUUUCACAAGAAAAUAUUUUUAAAGCUUUCCUUACUGAUAAUUUGUCUAAAGAGAGACAAAUCUAAUUAUUUAUGUAUAAUCUGAAAGGUCCAGUGUGGGAUGUGUUCAAUAAGAUACAUGCUUUAUUUAAACAUACAUUUAGAGCACUGUGCUACACAGAUCAUUAAAAGAUUUUUUUUUUAAUUUUAAAAUUAACAGAAUAUCAGCAAUUAGCUUCUGCAGCUAAUUAUUGGAUUUUAUAAUCCAAUUUUAUAAUAAUUUUCUGACUCUUCAGGAACAGCUACAAGGAUUUGGCAGAGCCCUUGUACUGAGCUCAGGAUAAGGGUUUCCACUCAAGAGGAGAAUUGCUGUGUAGGUCCCAGUUUCUACACUUCACAAGGGGAAGAGAUUUGCAGCAAAUCUGUCCCAGUUCACCCACAGCAGCUAGGUGUGUGACAGAGCUGGGAUUUAUCCCUUUGCAUGGGACAGUUGUUUAUUAGGCCAGAAAGUGGGGAUUUGUACCAGGCUGUAGGUAAGAUGCUCUCUUGCAUGGGUCAUGUGAGUCAAAAACCACCCUGGCUGGUACUUGUGGAAAUUCCACAGUGGUGGUGGCUUAAAAGUGGGUUUUUGUUACAGUCACAAAUGUGAAGUGGCCUUAAAGCAAAUUACUGAGAAAGUGGUGUAGGUGAGAGAGGGAAGAAUCUCUAGGAAUAGGUUUUUCCUUGUCAGCCCAGUGCAAUCCACUGAAACCCACAUGGCUGCACUGAGAAUUAACUCCUUGACUCCUCAGGGGAGAAUGAAUCUGUACAGAACAAUCUGCUCACAUUUCUCCCCUCCCAUGUCACACCUGAAAUCCAUACAAUUUUAGAGGAGCUAUUUCUAAGCAGAAACCCAAAGACAACACCAAAAAGUCUCUGCUUCCUACAAGUCUUCUGUCUACUCAUCAUGGAUCAAUUUAGGAAGCUGACAAAUCUUGCCAUUAGAGUGUGAAGACCACAGAAGUGUAAUGUGCAAUACCAAGCUAACCAAAAUGACUCUUUUAGCUCUGACUAUUUGUUUUAGUGACUGUUGCCAGAGUGUAAACAAAUUUUCAGAAAUACACUUGCUGUGUAUCCUCUUCAUUAAGGACUGGCACCACGGCCACACCCUGACAGAACUGAGAUGGCAUCCAGAACUUGUGAUAUCUUGAGAACUGCAGGUUCAGCUUCUCAGGUGAUGUGUGAUAGGUAUUUAUUGAGGGCUGUAUUCAAUGGGAAAACAAUUCCUAGGACACUUACCUCUCUGCUUUCCAGUGUGUGAGAACUGGUUCCAGCAUAUUGCUUUAUUGUCUGUGCUCCUGCCUAUCUGUGUAAGAUGGCAUCAAGUGACCCUAAACAAACUUGAGCUGAAGUACACAGGGAGAGGAUUAAUCAGUCAGGCACUUCAGCAUAAGCCUAAUGUUAAGCACACAACAUAAUGUUGAAGUGAAGUCAGUGGUAUUAUUUGUAUGUUCAAAGUUAACCACUGAGCUUAUCUGUUGUACUAUAUCAGUGCCUGAUGGCUUGUGCACUUACUUGCAAAUUUAAGAUACUUAAUGUGUUUAUUCUGGACUCUUCCUGUUGUUGUGCAUCAGAAAUUGUUGCCCUAAACCAAGCAGGGUAGUCCAGGCCUAAAGCAGCAGUGCAGCCCAGCUCCUCCUCAGGCAGAGACAGGGCGAUGGGAUGGAGCUGGCUAUGGGCAGGGAAAUGCACACAGCAGGUCUGCAGCAGCUCCAGCAGCUGACCAGGUUUUCCAGAGCCCUCAAGCAAAUGUCACUAGCUCUGGCUUUAGCCUCCAGGCCAGCAGUUAGGCCAGUGCUGAAGGUUUUGGAAGUUUUUUGCUCACUGGGCUGGGAAUAGUGGGAGGAGCGUUGUGGUUUCCCUGUGGCUGUCGCAGACAGAAGAGCUGAGUUCUGGGCUUUGUUCACUCAUGGAUAUUCUGCAUUUGUGCAAAUCCUCUCACUGCAUCACUGGCCUGGGCAUGACUGUAUUUUGCUGUUCCAGCUCCUCUUUGUGCAUGCAGAGGUGACAGACCCCAAGGCCCAGAGACACAAAACCUCUGUGAGCUGCACCACUCCACCUGACUCCUUCUUGUUUGCAUGGAAGGACAAUCUGGGGAGAUUUAGGCAAUAAACCAAAAUUCCCACCCACUAAUAACAAAAAAAAAAAAGUUCUUGAGUGAUGUGCUCAGCACCUUCUAUUCUCACUGAAGUAGCUCCUUGGGACUACUUUCAUGUGUCUUUAGGGAAUGUAACCAAAUUAUACCACAUGAGAGCUGGUAAUUUUAAUAUUAUGCUGUAAGGGGAAAUCUAUAAGCAUAACAGGAAAGACUGGAUGUUUUCCAUUCAUAUUUUUAGAAUGGUUGCUUCUCAUCUGUGCAUAUUUGCUUUUCAACAUCUCUGGCAAGAUCUACAUGAAUUA
Molecule: long non-coding RNA, 5911 nt
Organism: Serinus canaria (Common canary)
Lineage: Eukaryota; Metazoa; Chordata; Aves; Passeriformes; Fringillidae
Exons: 6
Source: RefSeq, a predicted model, not a curated record